Long non-coding RNA from Eriocheir sinensis (Chinese mitten crab), 1392 nucleotides. RefSeq lists it as uncharacterized. The record is from RefSeq and is a predicted model, not a curated record. NCBI's taxonomy places the organism in Eukaryota, Metazoa, Arthropoda, Malacostraca, Decapoda, Varunidae. The transcript is spliced from 3 exons.
AGGAGGGUGGCAAGAAGAGGAUAAGGGGUAUAGGGGGUGAAGAUGAGGCACUCCUGAGGGAUGGACGCAAGGAGGGAGAGAGUUAUAUUGAAUGAGGAUGAGUAAGUGUCAAGAUUAGGUUGGGUUAGGUCAGGUAAAACAGGUUAGGUUAGGUAAGGAUAGGUCAGGUUAUAUUAGACUAGUUAGGUUAGGUCAGGAAAGGUUAGAUAAGGUUAAAUUUGGUUAGGUUAGGUCAGGAAAGGUUAGAUAAGGUUAAAUUUGGUUAGGUUAGGUCAGGAAAGGUUAGAUAAGGUUAAAUUUGGUUAGGUUAGGUCAGGAAAGGUUAGAUAAGGUUAAAUUUGGUUAGGUUAGGUCAGGAAAGGUUAGAUAAGGUUAAAUUUGGUUAGGUUAGGUCAGGAAAGGUUAGAUAAGGUUAAAUUUGGUUAGGUUAGGUCAGGAAAGGUUAGAUAAGGUUAAAUUAGGUUAGGUAUAGCUGGAUUAGGUUGAGGAGAUGAAAUGAGGUGAGGUUAGGUUAGGUUAGGUUUUAAUUUAUUUUCUUUUUACUGUGGUGUAGGUCGAUUUUGAUCUAUAUGCAUUAGCUAGUUGAUUUAUUACUUUUUUUUAUCUUCAUUGCUGUUUCUUUCAUUCAAUUGUAUAUUUAUUUUUAGCAUUUUUCGUCUGUUUCCUAUUAUCUUGAUGGGACACACACACACACACACACACACACACACACAUACAUACAUACAUACACAAGUAGCCGCUGACUGACUGACGGGUGACGUUCAUGUAUCCAUCCUGUCAAAUACGAGUCUGUGUGGCGAAAUCUUGACAGCUCCGAGGCAUUUGUAGUCGUAGAUUAUAUUGUCCUCACUCUGACCUUUGCUCUCCGUCUUUAUCAGGGUUAGAUUUGCUGGUUUUCCCUCCUUUUUUUUCUUGUCUCUCUUUUUUAUCCUUUUUUCUUGUUCCUUUUCCUUAUUUUGUCUUUUUCUUCUCCAUAUUCCUCUUUCCUAUUGUCUUUCUUUUCCCUCUUGUUUCUUUUCCUUAUUUCGCUGCUUUGUUUAUUUUGUCUUUUUCCUUUCCCUUUUCCUCGUUCCUUUUGUCUCUUUCUUGCCUCGUUCUUGUCCUUUUCCUUGUCAAUCUUGUCCUUGUCUCUUUUCCCUGUUCCUCAUAUAUCUUUUCCUUAUUCCACCACCUUGUUUAUUUUGUCUUUUUCCUUUCCCUUUUCCUCUUUCCUUUUGUCUCUUUCUUGUCUCGUUCUUGUCCUUUUCCUUGUCAAUCUUGUCCUUGUCUCUUUUCCCUGUUCCUCAUAUCUCUUCCUUGUUCCUCUUGUUUCGUUUUUUUUCUCUUUUUCUUGUCCCACUCUUCUUUGUCCCUAUUUUCCUUGUCUUUUCCUUGUUCCUGUUGUCCCUUUUG